UCCAUUAAUCUUUUUGUGCUCACCAAUAAGAUACCACAAGAUGGUGCCAAAGAGUCUUUUUGUAUAUUUUGAGUUUCUGUCAUCCUCACCUGCUUGUUGGCCAGUACCAUUAGAGGCAGGCAGGGGUAGUCAUUGAGCAGCUUGUGCAGCUGUGCCUUGGCAACACCAAAGAGCUGCGGCA
Syngnathus acus (greater pipefish) is the source of this 181-nucleotide long non-coding RNA. RefSeq lists it as uncharacterized. The record is from RefSeq and is a predicted model, not a curated record. The transcript is spliced from 2 exons. Lineage: Eukaryota; Metazoa; Chordata; Actinopteri; Syngnathiformes; Syngnathidae.